CAGUCGCCACGGUAAAACGUAGGGUGCAAGCGUUAAUCGGAAUUACUGGGCGUAAAGCGUGCGCAGGCGGUUAUAUAAGACAGAUGUGAAAUCCCCGGGCUCAACCUGGGAACUGCAUUUGUGACUGUAUAGCUAGAGUACGGCAGAGGGGGAUGGAAUUCCGCGUGUAGCAGUGAAAUGCGUAGAUAUGCGGAGGAACACCGAUGGCGAAGGCAAUCCCCUGGGCCUGUACUGACGCUCAUGCACGAAAGCGUGGGGAGCAAACAGGAUUAGAUACCCCCGUAGUCCCUGUCUCUUAUAC
RNAcentral lists this ribosomal RNA (301 nucleotides) under uncultured bacterium. RNAcentral describes it as "partial 16S ribosomal RNA". It matches the Rfam family "Bacterial small subunit ribosomal RNA", at positions 509 to 807 of the family's 1533-position model. The record is from RNAcentral.